GGGAUCCGGAGGUAAAAAUAUCAGAGAAAAGAGAAGGAUUCACCCCUAAAAAAAAAAUCCCAUUUUCUUAGGAUUUGGAGUAGAAAUCAGGAAUACACACCAGGGUCCCACGGGGUGGGAGAGGACACCUCGUUCCUGGUGGAUCUGAAGGAUCUGGAGCAGAAACUCAGGAAUAGAAACCAGGGUCCCACGGGGUGGGAGAGGACACCUCGUUUCUCAUGGCUCUGAAGAGGAGCGGGAGAGGACACCUCGCUGCUGGUGGAUCUGCACCCAGGAGCUCCAAACGCUGAGUUUUGGGAUUUCAGGCUCAGGAUCCCUGCCCCCUUCCCUUUUCCCAGCUGAUCCCAGGAUUUCCAGAGCCUCGCAGCCCCGAGAGCUGCGGGACGGCAGAACGCUCCAUGGAGGGAUUGAAUAAAGAAAUGAAAAAGAAAUAAAAAUAAAAUAAAUGUAUAAUAAA
Lonchura striata (white-rumped munia) is the source of this 457-nucleotide non-coding RNA. Lineage: Eukaryota; Metazoa; Chordata; Aves; Passeriformes; Estrildidae. The record is from RefSeq and is a predicted model, not a curated record.